This is a long non-coding RNA of Dromiciops gliroides (monito del monte), 3107 nucleotides long. RefSeq lists it as uncharacterized. NCBI's taxonomy places the organism in Eukaryota, Metazoa, Chordata, Mammalia, Microbiotheria, Microbiotheriidae. The record is from RefSeq and is a predicted model, not a curated record. The transcript has 4 exons.
UCUGUGGGAUCCUCUGUUUUCCCGUCCUUUCUCAGUGGUUGGUUUUAGUAAGGGGCAAACAGAGAGAGGCAUGGGAAACCAACCACGGGCACAUCAGGGAUGCCACCCUUGGGCAGAGUUUGUCUGUCUGAUGAGCUGAAGGGGGAGCGAGGGCUGCAAGCUCCCUCUGGCUGCCUCACAGGCUACAAUAAUGCCUUUGCUUUGUAGCUUUGGAGUGGGCAAAGGGCUCCCAUCCGGGAGAGCUCCUUGAGAUGUGGGGGGCUCCGGGGGUUUAGGUGAGUAUCAGACCCUUCCAAUAACAGUCUGCGGGGAUCACACUUUCCCUUCCUGUGUUUUGGCUCCACCCCUGAAGAAACUGGCCCCUUCAAGGGAAAUGAGUCAUAGUCCCCAGUCAUGGGAUCUGAAAGCGGGUUUGGACUCCCACUCUUAACUCCCCACUCCUUCUCCAGCUCCUUCCGGUGCUGAUCUGAUCAGAUCCCCUGUCUCUACUCAUACAAGAAGGAUUCUGAGAAGGGGUCCGGAGACUUCACCAGACUGGCAAAAGGGUCCAGGACACACAAAGAAGGUUAAGAAAGGCUUUCCCUAGGCUGCCUCACUGUUUAGCUCUCUCAGUCUGAGAUGACCCAUUUCCAAGGAAGCAGAAGGGGGCCUGGCCAUAGGUCCCCAGGCCUGGAACCUCUUGGACACAGCUCUCCCACUGAAAGGCCCCUCAAGUCCACAGGAACAGGGCCUGGCCACCUCCCAGCUCUCCAGAUACUUCUAAACAGUCAUCGGGAGUUUAUCUUGAGGAGAGUCACUGAGGGUCAUCUAAAUGCAGCCCUGGAUGCUCUACGUUCCUGCCAGGCUCUGUCUCGGCCCAACUACGAGGCGAUCUGCUCGGCCCCCACGCUGACUGCCCGAAUCCGGGCCCUGCUGGACACCUGCCUCUCCUUAGGGGAAGAGGCUGCUCAGGUGGCUAUGGCUGUGCUCCUGGCUCCCCCAAGACAGCGAGUCAGGGGCUUGGCUACAACAAGCUAUUUGAGACCCCUGAGGCAGGGACCUUAAGCACUUGGAACGGUCCAUGGAGUCAUCAGGGGCGGGGGACAGAGCAUCGAACCUUGAGUUGGGAAACCCAAGCUGAAGUUUCCACUGUUUUGUUCCUUAUCCAUUGUGCAAACUUGAGCAAGUCGUUGACCCUUCUGGGGGCCUCAGUUUCCUCAUCUGUGAAAUGGGGUUGCUCUAGACAAACCCUUCCAGAUUUGGAGUUUGCCAUUUGGAGUCUGUGAGUUCUGGGCACAACACUGGCAUGCUUGGCCACUGACAGUGGGGAGGGACAGUGAGUUUGCCAGGCAGGGUAGGAGUGGCACAGAACCAGCAGAGAGGAGAGAAGGGAUAGUGGUAGGAAAAGGGAGGUGUGAGACCUACCUUGUUUCUACAGAAGCUCUCUAUUCAUCCUUCAAGGCUUACCCCCCCCCCCCCCGAAAAAAAAAAAAAAGCCCUUUCUGGCUGUUCCUGCCUCACUGACCUUCUCCUUUGCUAAGGCAGUGAAAGCACAACAGAAAGAUCAUGGAAUCCAAAGGCAGAGGGAACUGGGUUUAAAUUUGAUCUCAGAUGCCUUCUACUGUGUGAUCUUGGUCAUGUUAUUGUACAUCUCUGAGCGUUAGUUUCCUUAUGUGAAAAAUGAAGUGUGAGACAAAUGACUAUUAAUAACCAGUUAUUAAUAUGCGGGGAGGAGGAUCCAGGGUUUUUCCCCUUUCUGUUUUCUCAUUCAAAGCCCAGUUCUUGUGAAGGGGUUAGACUCAUGGCCUCUGAGGUCCUUUCUUACUUUAGAUCCUAGGAUCUCUGGAAACCAGUCUUUUUUUUUUCUUUUUCCUUUUUUGGUGAGGCAAUUGGGGUUAAGUGACUUGCCCUGAGUCACACAGCUAGUAAGUGUCAAGUGUCUGAGGCCGGAUUUGAACUCAAGUCAUCCUGACUCCAGGGCCAAUGCUCUAUCCACUGCGCCACCUAGCUGCCCCUCUGGAUACUAGUCUUGCUGUCUAACCCAAUCUUAGGGGCAACUUUGUGGGCCUGAAGUCAGAAAGACCUGAGUUUAAAUUCUGCCUCAGAUACUUACUAACUGUAUGACCACUUAAUCUCUAUAAGCCUCACUUUCCUCUUCCGUAAACAAUGAUGAUAAUGGCACCCACCACACAGGGCUGUUGUGAGGACCAAAUGAGAUAACAUCUGUAAAGUACUUUGAGAGCCAUAAAGAACUACAUAAACGCUAGUAUUUAUUAAAAUAGUCUCUAAGUAGGUGGCAAGGAUGGGGAACCUUAGUGGGUCUUGGCAUGCUAUAUGGGGAAUGGAAACGCCUGCUCAUGUGUCUCCCACAUCUUUCCAUGUUAAAGAAAUGUCAGUAACUACAGGUAUAUUUCAAUAACCACUGCGGGGAAAAUAGUAUUUACACAGGACACACAGGGCAGAAUGUCUUCUAUGCUUUGCUCAUACCGUGCCUUCUCUGGGGCCUGGGGAAAACUAUUAGAAGUCAGAAUAUGACUUUUCAGGUUCCUUACAGCUCUAGAUUCUAUAAACUCCUACUAGAAUGUAAGCUUCUGAGGGUAGACUGCCAGAUUUGGGAAUCUUUGUGUCCUCUUACCUAGUGACCCAUGAAGUGAAUUAAAUUGUCAGAAUUCAGAGAUGAGUCAGAAUAAACCCUCUUGCUUCCAUGAGCUGACGCUGAGUGAAGUGAGCAGAACCAGGAGAACAUUGUCCACAGUAACAGUAACAUUGUGUAAUGAUCAACUUUGAUGGAUUUAGUUCUUCUCAGCAAUACAAUGAUCCAAGACAACUCCAAAGGACUCAUAAUGGAAAAUGCUCACAUCCAGAAAAAGAACUGUGGAGUCUGGAUGAAGACUGAGGAAUACUAUUAUUUUCACCUUUUUGGGGGUUGUUUUUUCUGUUAUGAUUUUUCCCUUUUCUUCUGAUUUUUCUUUCACAACAUGACUAAUGUGGAAAUAUGUUUAACGUGACAGUACUAUAUAAUAUAUGCCAGAUUGCUUGCUGUCUUGGAGGGGGGAGGGAGAGAAAUUUGGAAUUCAAAAUCUUAUAAAAAUGAAUGUUGAAAGCUAUCUUUACAUGUAAUUAGGAAA